RNAcentral lists this transfer RNA (71 nucleotides) under Gammaproteobacteria bacterium. Its description in RNAcentral is "tRNA-Trp". It matches the Rfam family "tRNA". From Rfam's summary of the family: Transfer RNA (tRNA) molecules are approximately 80 nucleotides in length. Their secondary structure includes four short double-helical elements and three loops (D, anti-codon, and T loops). Lineage: Bacteria; Pseudomonadati; Pseudomonadota; Gammaproteobacteria. The record is from RNAcentral.
AGGCCAGUAGCUCAAUUGGCAGAGCAGCGGUCUCCAAAACCGCAGGUUGGGGGUUCUUCGCUCUUUGAUUG